This 369-nucleotide ribosomal RNA is filed under the name uncultured eukaryote. RNAcentral's name for it is "partial 18S ribosomal RNA". It matches the Rfam family "Eukaryotic small subunit ribosomal RNA", at positions 592 to 976 of the family's 1831-position model. The record is from RNAcentral.
CAAUAGCGUAUAUUAAAGUUGUUGCAGUUAAAAAGCUCGUAGUUGAACUUCUGUACAUUCCCGGUGCCGGCUCUUGUCGAACCGUGGCAGUGUGCAUCCGCUUACAAACUUAGACCGGCAUUCACUUGUCGACUAAGGGAGUAGGCCCUUUACUUUGAAAAAAUUAGAGUGUUUCAAGCAGGCAAUGGUUUGAAUACAUUAGCAUGGAAUAAUGGAAUAGGACUGAUGUCCAUUUGGUUGGUUAUUGGAUGUUAGUAAUGAUUAACAGGGACAGUUGGGGGCAUUAGUACUUAACAGUCAGAAGUGAAAUUCUAUGAUUUGUUAAAGACUAACUUAUGCGAAAGCAUUUGCCAAGGAUGUUUUCAUUAA